ACGGAAGGCAGCAGUGGGGAAUAUUGGGCAAUGGGCGCAAGCCUGACCCAGCAACGCCGCGUGAAGGAAGAAGGCUUUCGGGUUGUAAACUUCUUUUAAGGGGGAAGAGCAGCAGACUGUAGCCCUAGAAUAAGCCACGGCUAACUACGUGCCAGCAGCCGCGGUAAUACGUAGGUGGCAAGCGUUGUCCGGCUUUACUGGGUGUAAAGGGCGUGUAGCCGGGGAGGCAAGUCAGAUGUGAAAUCUAUGGGCUUAACCCAUAAACUGCAUUUGAAACUGUUUCUCUUGAGUGCUGUAGGGGCAAUCGGAACUCCUUGUGUAGCGGUUAAAUGCGUAGAUAUAAGGAAGAACACCAGCGGCAAAGGCGGAUUGCUGGACAGUAACUGACGGUGAGGCGCGAAAGUGUGGGGAGCAAACAGGAUUAGAUACCCUGGUA
Molecule: ribosomal RNA, 436 nt
Filed under: uncultured Oscillibacter sp.
Lineage: Bacteria; Bacillati; Bacillota; Clostridia; Eubacteriales; Oscillospiraceae
Description: partial 16S ribosomal RNA
Rfam family: Bacterial small subunit ribosomal RNA
Source: RNAcentral